GCACUGCUGAGGAGUCCCAUGAUAGGACGAAACGGCCGUCCAGUGU
Non-coding RNA from Schistosoma rodhaini, 46 nucleotides. NCBI's taxonomy places the organism in Eukaryota, Metazoa, Platyhelminthes, Trematoda, Strigeidida, Schistosomatidae. The record is from Rfam.